CCCCAACAUAGUUGAAGUAAAUCACAUUCAUGUCCAGCACACACGGAACAACAAUACAACAAUACCAUCCUGUUGAAGUUGUGUUUCUGGCUAUUUGACAAAUGUUAAAGUCAUGGAUUAUGGGCUGAUCAUGUUGGUGCUCACAGGAGCACUAGUCAAUGUUGCCUCCGCCCAAAGUCGUCAGUACAACUUUGUGAGCACUCCACUGAACUGGACUGCAGCUCAGAGCUUCUGCAGGCAGCGCUACACUGACCUGGCCACCAUAGAAAGCACAGCUGACGAC
Long non-coding RNA from Cottoperca gobio, 283 nucleotides. RefSeq lists it as uncharacterized. Lineage: Eukaryota; Metazoa; Chordata; Actinopteri; Perciformes; Bovichtidae. The transcript has 3 exons. The record is from RefSeq and is a predicted model, not a curated record.